This is a long non-coding RNA of Nyctereutes procyonoides (raccoon dog), 869 nucleotides long. RefSeq lists it as uncharacterized. The transcript is spliced from 5 exons. The record is from RefSeq and is a predicted model, not a curated record. NCBI's taxonomy places the organism in Eukaryota, Metazoa, Chordata, Mammalia, Carnivora, Canidae.
CCCGCCCAGUGCAGGUUGGAGUACCUGGGAGAGGCCGGGGGAGGGAGCGGUUGUCCCGGAGGCGCUCUCCCCGGGCGGAUCACGGGGCCGUCCAGGCGAAGGCGCGCGGUCACCCGAGGCGCUGCUUCCUUCGGCCUCGCAAGCCUAAGUUUGGACCUGGUUGUUACAUAGAAGCCCCGCAUUGCAGAGCAUAAAAAAAUCCAACAUCUCCAGCAGAGGGCGACGGCUUCACACUCUGCUGGCUAGGACAGCGCUGCCCAGUAGGCAUAUACCCAGGAGUGGAACUGCUGAGUCAGACAGUACCUCUGUUGUGGAACAUUUUGAGGAACUACCAGACUGUUUUGUAAAGCUUCACCUCUGUUAUCAUCCUCUGUGUUGCUGAGGUGGGGAGGAAGUGAGAUGACUCACUCAUGAUCACCAGGACAGAAGGGCCAGAAGGCAGCGAGGAGCCAGUGGCUAGCAGGUGCCAGCCCACCGUCCUCUCCCCCGGUCCCAGAGACACAGAAGGGCCCCCCAGGCUGCCACGGGAGGCUCUCAACACAAACAGAGGCCAGACAACUCUAACCAAAAACCGUGUGACCUUUGUCUGCAGACCAGACAGGAUUAAGUAUCCUCAGUCCAGAUCCUUCCACAGCACUGGUUCUCAGCCCCUUGCAGCAGUUCUCAAAUCUGGCUGCAUAGUAGAACAGCUGGUGAGCUGGAAGCCCAGACCACGCCUGACCACCUAGAAUGCAAUCUCAGGGACACCCAGGGUUGCUCAGUGUUGAGCAUCUGCCUUUGGCUCUGGUUGUGAUCCCAGAGUCCCAGGAUCGGGUUCUGCAUUGGGUUCCCUGUGAGGAGCCUGCUUCUUCUCCCUCUUCCUGUGUCUC